Long non-coding RNA from Oncorhynchus keta (chum salmon), 5962 nucleotides. RefSeq lists it as uncharacterized. The transcript has 5 exons. The record is from RefSeq and is a predicted model, not a curated record. Lineage: Eukaryota; Metazoa; Chordata; Actinopteri; Salmoniformes; Salmonidae.
GCAGAGGCGCUGUUGUGCUGAUGUGAUGGAACCAUUUCAGGUCCUCAGUGAUGUGCAUGCCAAGGUACUUGAGGCUUUUAACCAUCCCCAAUGUGGCCCUGUCGAUGUAGAUGGGGGUGUGCUCUCUGAUUUGUCUCCUGUAGUCCACGAUCAGCUCUUCACUCUAAAAAGAAAAGAUUCCUGGAGGAUUCUUUAGUUUAACUUAAGGUGAAAAAAUGAACCUUUGGGUUAAUUUAAGAACCUAUACUCUGCCAUCAGUUUGUUUUUUAACCUUUGCAGACUUAAGGGGUGCUUUGAAGAACUCUUGUCAAUAGAGGGAUUAAGUUUUGGAACCAGCUGUGAGCGUGUGACUAAAGGGCAUUGUGCGUAUAAUUACGCGGCUGUCAGCCAAUCAGCAUUCAGGGCUCGAACCACCCAGUUUAUAAUUCAAAUUAAGCAAUGCUGGUCAAAAGGCAACUGGAAGCGAGAAGCGAGUGGAUGGUUGGAAAGAUGUGACAGAUAAGAGAUGACUUGCAACGGAUCAACGUGAAAGUCCCUGGCUUGGGAGCGGUGAACUCUGAUAGAGAAAUGUAUCAACCUCCACGAACAGGUAAGACACACACACACACACAAAUGACCCAAUGUAGGUUGUUAAACUUGUUGUUAAACUUGUUUGUGUUUGUGUCGAAUUGAAGUCUUUCAGGUUAGUGUUAUUGGGGCGGCCCGUUCUGUCCUCUGUAUUUCAGACCAAAGCAAGACUAUGUUUGAAGCUCACUAUGGAUCUACAAACAGGUUAGCCUCUAUAAAGUCAUUGAAUGUAUUUGCAGUGUGAUUAUAGUGUGUUCUGUUUUAUGUCUUUGACUUUUCCAACACUAACUGAGUGGUGAAUGAAUGUAUUUUACAGUGUGAUUAUUGUUGGCUCUGGUAGUCCGAUGUCUUUUCAAAUACCAACAAUGGUGAAUGAAUGCAUUUACAGUCAAUCAAUCAAUCAUUCCAGUGUGAUUAUUGUAUGUACUGCGUAAUUCCUUUGUCUUUUCCAGUGCCAACUGAAUGGUGAAUGUCUGGUGUAAUCUUAUCAUCUUUUUGUAUGUGAGAAGAUACGUUGUUUCUUCUCCAUUCUGUAUAUUUGAACAAAAUUCAACUCCAGUUUAAGAACUGGGAUAAGCUACAAAUCUCAUUGUUCGCAUCUCAAAUGUUCAUAAAUGACCAGCACACCUUCCUAAACCUUUAACACCAUAGACAAUAUGAUUACUCAGUUUAUAUGGACUAUUAAAAGGACGAGGAUUAACCGAGCUAGAUUACAGGCAAAGAUUUAUUAGGGAGCUUUAAUCCUCCCUUCUAAGUAAUUAUAUCAAGAAGCCUUUAACUGCCCAGAUAGGCUCUCCUUAUUGAGAAAUCUAAUAGGCCAGUUUGGGUUGACACGGAAGAACUAAAUGUCCCAUUUGGAGCAUCAUAUUAUCGGAGUCAACACUUAAACGUGGGACUGCAGAAUCCCAUAAUGUCCCAUACUAAGAAAUAUGGCAUCAGAUAAAUUAGAGACGGACAUCUUCACCUUUCCCGACAAGCUCUGCUUCGUUAUGGAACAACCAUCAAUACAAAUUAGGGGGACAGGCGGUUGUCUGGAAAGAGUGGUAUAUAUUUUGUUUAGGCCUCAGCACUAAUACAUUUCACUUUUGCUUUGAGUGUCAACUUGAAUUUGAGUGUGGCUGUGGAAGACUGGGCCCUUGAUGAUGUCCGCAAGUGGCUGAGUACCAAUGAUCUCCAUGAUUCCGUCCCAUCAUUCCAAGGCUCACAAAUCUGUCUGAAGAAUGCCAACUCUAUUCAAAUUGUCCACUUUGCAACUAACAUACUUUCUCUGUGUCCAGACUACUCACACAUGAUGUUGAGUCACUGACAUGAUCUUCCUGUCCGUGUUGGCGCCCCCCCCCCACGGGACCAUACCUCAGGACUAUCUGGCCUGAUGACUCCUUGCUGUCCCCAGUCCACCUGGUCGUGCUGCAGCUCCAGUUUCAACUGUUUUGCAGGCAACUAUGGAACCCUGACCUGUUCACCGGACGUGCAACCUGUCCCAGACCUGCUGUUUUCAACUCUGUAAAGACAGCAGGUGCAAUAGAGAUACUCUGAAUGAUCUGAAUGAAAAGCCUGAAUGAAAAGCCAACUGACCUUUGCUCCUGAGGUGCUGACCUGUUGCACCCUCUACAACCACUGAUUAUUAUUAUCUGACCCUGCUGGACAUCUAUGAACAUUUGAACAUCUCGGCGAUGUUCUGUUAUAAUCUCCACCCGGCACAGCCAGAAGAGGACUGGCCACCUCUCAUAGCCUGGUUCCUCUCUAGGUUUCUUCCUAGGUUCCUGCCUUUCUAGGGAGAAUUUCCUAGCCACCGUGUCUCCACAUCUGCAUUGGGGUUUUAGGCUGUGUUUCUGUAAGAAGUAAGAAGGGCUUUAUGAAUACAUUUGAUACUACCAGCCAGUUUCAACAGCCUUCACCCAGCAUACAUGGUUCAACACAGUCAACAAUGGAUUAGGUCUGUUGAUGAGAUGGAUUUCCAUGGGUUAGCUGGAGACAGGGACCCAGAGGGAAGUGUCCAUUCCACUCCGCCUCUGGAUUGCAAGCACCAAAUUGAUGGAGUGACAUUGAUGUCAUUGGACCAAAAGAAUGGUGGCGCAACUGGUUCCAAUAAUUAAAGUCCGAAUCAAAUUCACAAAAUGAAUGGAGAAUCUAAAAGCUGUAAAUAGUUCACAGCUACAGCAAACAGCCCAGCAAAAUGACCCAGCAUCUGUCCAGCACAAGUACCCACCAAUUGGACUUCAGCAUGACACAUCAAUCAGCCUAAGAGUCUGGCCAUCUGUGUUUAGAUUUCCAGGAUUUUUUUUUCUUUUCUUCUUCCUACUGUGAAAGUCUCAGACUGUGCAGGUGUUGUUCAACUUCAUGCGUACCAACACUUCGUGACUAUAGUUAUGUAAUAUACUGAUCUUAAUGAUGUAAAUUCCUCACUUAUGAAUCAUAAUGGGCGCGUGCGUGCGUGUGCAUCAGCGUCACCUCGAGCCCUUCCGUCUGUCCAUACCGUUGUCAUAAUCACUGCAGCUGAUAGCAUAGCACAGGACAUACUCAACUUUUGCAUGAUGAUAAUCAACCUCAUCAAUGUAAUUUGUAUUACAAACAGAAUUGUUCGUCAAAAUGUUAUGUUGUAUGUUUCUCAUUUGCUUUAGGUACCCCAGCAAUGCAUGGAUGUGUGCACAGCGCUCAUUCAAAAGUACCCCUCGUUGAGAGACCAGACAGGGAAGGGAUAUGAAAAUUCUUCAGUUUUCCUAUACACAUUAAUUCACAGUAAUAACUUUUUUACACCAUAAAUGUGCUGGCUUGGAUAUUUUCUUCUCACAAUGUUAAACUAUCACAUUCCCAGCAGCAUAACAAGACCAUCUCUCGUCUGCUCUUCUGACCUCAGUCCCAAUAAUCCAUCUUGACAUUUCUCCUCUUCACAUUUGAUUUUUUAAGGAGUCAUGGCACGGGCAUGAUAAAAAAUAAAUACAAAAAGAAGAGUGGCAGCCGCUUGCUCACGUUGCACAAGUGCAGGAAAUGCAGAAGAGGUUUGAGAGGCAAGUGAAACAAAUGAGACCAGACGCUACCAAAACAUGAAGACCUGACCAAAAUAGCCAAGGUAACUACACACAAAUAAUGGCGCAUAUUCAGUGCGUCAAAGUCGAACCGUUGAUCCCGGAUCAGUUUUUACGAUCAUAAAUAAGAUUGUAUGGACAUGUGGGGGAGGACCUGAUCCAAGAUCAGCACUCUGAGAUGCUUUGUGAAUAUGGGACAUUUUGCCUUUUUCUAUAGACUUGAUCAUGAUUGAAAAGGGGGCGGACUUUGUAUCCAUCCUGGAAGGGAGAGUAGCAGUGAUCCAAAGUCUGGUCUGAGUGUGUGGAAUUUGAUAAACCGGACCUUAAAUUUGUUCUGUUAAAAAUCCCCAGUCACAAUGAACACAGCUUCUGGAUGUGCCUAUUUCAGUUUAUUAAAAGUCCUGUAUAAAUCCUUGGGAACUCAAGUGGUCAUUUAUACAGCCGUGAGGAUAACGAAAGAAAGUUCCCUCGGGAGAUAACUACGAGAGCUUUUAGAAAUUGCCGUGGUCACACAAAGAGUUGUUGAUCAUGAAAUAUAUCCCACCUACUUUGCUUUUCCCUGACGCCUUUGUCCUAUCCACCCAUUCGAUGGAAAACCCUGUGGGUUGAAUGGCUGGGUCGAGUACUGAUGGUGUAAACACGUCUCAAUGCCCAAUGAGAUCAGUUACUGCCAUUUUGCUGGAUAUUGGUAAUCCAAUCACAGAUUAAAUGGAAAAAGAUUUGUGUAAAAUAUUAUAUUUAUUUGAAGAGUUCAUUGGGUUUAUGAAAAUCUGGUGGGUGGAGGUAUUGUUGAUUGUGUAGAACAGUGUUCCCCAAAUGGCGAAUGGUUUUAUUUGGCCCUGAGCAACAUAAAAAUCUAUAAUUCUGUUGGUUAUAAGACAAAAACAUCAGGAAAUGAGCUCCAAGUGAUUUUAAUUUAAGAAAUAUGUUCCAGUAUUCCCACGCAUAAUAGAGAAACGUUAUCGAAUUAGUCAAGUUUUUAAUUAUUCUGUUUUAGUAUUACAUAUCUGUUUGGGCUUCUUGCCAUCAAUUUGCCAUCUACAAAUUUAUUUGUAAUUAUGUUCCGGCCCCCUGACCAUCCGCACAAAAAAAAAAAAAAAAAAAACGUCCCGCUGCUGAAUCUAGUUGAUGAUACCUGGUGUAGAAGGCAGUGUGUUUACCAAGCAGCAAUAGCGUGGAGAUUCAUCUAAUUAACUCACCAACUAAUUACCUCAACUUCAAUAAGACUGUAAUAAAGAGUAUGGAUUUGUGCGCUCCCUCUUUGAGGCAAUCAUCAGAACUCAUUCACGCAACCAUACGUGCACGCUUAAAUGUGCACACACCUCACACAAAGAUGUGUACUGGCAUGCAUUUCAUGUCCUACACAUUCUGAAAGUGGUUGGAGAAAAGUAGCAGUUUUAAAGCAAAUUUUCUGCAAUAUUACACAUUUUGCAUUGAUUUAGGACAUGUUCAUAUCAGGUGAGAUUGACUAACAAAAUCAAAUGUGGACCUUCUGGAGGUCAGGGCCCAUGGGCAUAAUUACAUAAUUACUCUACUUUAAAAACCUGGGUCAUUCCACCAAUUCGGUGUCUUGUAAGAAGUGCAACUUGUCAAAUAAACAAAUGUUACCUCAUUUUAACAUUCUGUCACAAAGAGCACAUGUUCAACUUCAUAAAAAAACAAGUUUUUCAAUCUAAAAAGGCUAACAAAAAAAAGGCCUAUUAAGUGCCAAAUAAAGUAACAGGCUUGACAAAAUCAUCUUAAAUCAGCCAUGAAUCCUCUUGUGACGGGGAAGCUUCACAAACAAAUGGUUAUACCAUUUCUAGUCUGUCUGUCUAUGGGUAAAAGGGUUGACGUGUUAUAUAGAUGUUCAAUGUUUCUUCUAAAUAGAGAGUUCAUGUAACAGGGUUGACCUUUUAAAUGGGCGACAGAUGUAAAUGAAUCACAAUCUUCAGAAAUGACCUUUUCAAAGCAACCACAUAACCAGGACUUUACAAUGAUGCUUAAAAAUGUGGAGAAAUGUUGAGGUUUAGUGGUUUAAAAUCUUCCAGGAAGUCACAGAGGGAGACGGAGGGACGUCAAAUUUUGGCACUUCUCCAUAUAGACCACUUCUCCAUGUGGUCUAUAUUAAAGAGAAAUUCAUUUCAUAUACCAGGCUUUUAAAAAUGUAAUAUUGGUGCACAAUUUCUACAAUUUUUUACUUUCAAAAGGACAGAAAGGGCACUCUUUUGGAAUGACUCAGCUGGCUAGACUAACUUACUUAGCAAUCUAAAAAUGUUUAGCUGACAUGGGCUAAUUUAGUGGCUGUAAGGAGAACACUACCUGGAGUAAGAGUUACCUAAUUCAAAUUCCUGAGUUGUAGCUUUUAACACAUUUUCCAACUUGAGUUA